This 291-nucleotide unclassified non-coding RNA is filed under the name Hevea brasiliensis (rubber tree). Lineage: Eukaryota; Viridiplantae; Streptophyta; Magnoliopsida; Malpighiales; Euphorbiaceae. The record is from RNAcentral.
UAAGUCAAGAUCAAAGCACUACUAGAAAAUGCUUUCUUUACUACAUAUGGUCCCUCAUAAGUUCAUGACCAUUUACCUCAGGGGUCACUUUAGUUUGGCAAUAUUUUCUUCAAAAUAAGAUCUCCAGGCUGAAAUUGUCAAGGUCAUACCUUCUUAUCAAAAGCCCUAGCCAUUCUACUUUGGUAUAAUUGCCCAUGACAAAUUGCUGUUAGUCUUUUCUCAUCAAUCAAAUUUAGUUGGUCAAGUCUUAUUUUGACCCAUUCAGUUUCAUCCAAAUUUGCCUCCAUCAAG